UCCCUUGUCUUUCUUAACCUAGAAACAAGUUACAUAACAGAAAAUCAAAAUAUGGAAGGAAACUAAAAUUAAUCAUGUAAAUCAUUAUCAGUCUAGAUCUAGAUCUAGAUUCUACUUCAUAUCCAGAUCUAAUAAAUUUUCUUUUCAGAAAAUGCCUUCUUCAUCAAUUAAUGGAUAACUGGAGUUUUUGUUUUGACACACUAAACCUUGAUAACCCUUCCAUCACAAGAUUUACACAAGAUGCACAAGACACAUAUGCCAUCACAGAUUUAAUUGAAGGAGAAUGUUACAUGUGAAACAAGCAUGUCACAUGUAUGGUGUUUUAAAAAGCUUACUUCUAAAACCUAAGCUGUUAAACUUUCGUAACAUCACUACAAAAUCAAACCAUUACACUGUUCUUGGCAUACAUCAGCAUGCUUCAACAGAGGAGAUCAGAGCUGCAUUCAUCAAGAAAUCAAAGGAAUGUCACCCCGAUACAAAUCAAAGUAACGCAGACAAUCAUACGCAGUUUGUUUUGGUAAACGAAGCAUAUUCGACUUUAAGUAAACCAGGAAGUCGGAGGGACUACGACUUAUCUUUAAAUCACCAAAAGCACUAUAAAAAUUCACGCAGCGCAAAACAGAGUACAGAGUUUGAAGGUCAUGAAAUUUUUCAUAGACCUCAGGCGUAUAAUGACCUGAAUGACGUAAAAAGACAGGCUAACGACAAGUUCUACCGUAAUCAGCCAUAUUAUGGGAUUAAAGGACUAAAAAAAACUACCUAACUCAAGCAUUGUUGUGGGAUGUUUAAUCUUCAUGCUUGUAGGAAUGGUCUUACAGUUCAUUGUCGUCACAAGAUCUUAUUUGCAGUCCAAGAAAAGGCUGGAUGCAACCAGCGCUAGAAAUCAUGAACUUCACAUGAAUGCUCAGAGAAAGUACGAGGAAACACUUUCUGUAAAGAUACCUUUAAAUGGGCUUACACCCACCGGUGAGAGGGCAAAAAACAAAGCAGUUUUAGAUAAAUUUACAGCAGAUUGAAUUUCUUCUUAUAAGGCUGCUAGUAGAAUUUUAUUUUUAGAGAUCUUAUAAUAUUUUACCCACAAUACUGUGAGUGUGAGCUAAAUUUUAAACUCCAUUAAACUGUUUACCAGUUGUCAGCACAUUUUAAACCAGUCUUUGGAAAACUGAAAACCUCUUCUGAUAAUAAUUUAAAUUUAAAAAAUAUUUUAUCAGAGUAAAAUAUUUUAUUCAAGUGUAUUUUUAGCAUCAUGUAGUAAAACUAAAUGUUAUAACACUAAAAAAGCUACAUGACAUUACUGCCAGUCAAACACAAUGUUCAUGAUUUGUAAUCUAGAUGGCAAAAUAAUAUUUUAAAUAGCACCCUGUUUUUGAAGAAUAUGUGCAAUUAAUGUUGAAAAAAUUGUAAUGUUUUAUAUUAUGUUAAAUGUGUUAUAAAAGGGUUUGUUGUGCAUUUGUUAAUUAUUUAUGUGAUUUGUGUUGUGUGUACAUAUUUUAUGACUGCUUACAAAAUGUUUCUGUGUGGUGAUUUCAUUAUGUCCCAGCUCUUUCAAUUGUUGGAGAUUAAUUCUAGGUUACUUUACCAUGUGUAUUCAAGGUGUAUUAAUGAAUACAGUUUUAACAUUGCAUGCAGUUUAAGAAUCUAAAAAUAAAUAUUUCUU
Molecule: long non-coding RNA, 1657 nt
Organism: Physella acuta
Lineage: Eukaryota; Metazoa; Mollusca; Gastropoda; Physidae
Source: RefSeq, a predicted model, not a curated record